This 600-nucleotide long non-coding RNA is filed under the name Homo sapiens (human). RNAcentral's name for it is "HSALNT0204656". Lineage: Eukaryota; Metazoa; Chordata; Mammalia; Primates; Hominidae. The record is from RNAcentral.
GACACACGCAGAGGUAAGACCAUUUAAAGAUGGAAAGAAGAUUACUGUCUACAAGACAAGGAAAGAGGCCGUAGAAGAAACCAACCAGGCCAAAACUUUCAUCUCAGACUUCUAGCCUUCAGAACACUGAAUUAUUAGCAACCCACCCCUUUAUAUGGUAAUUUCUCAAUUUCCAGACUUGCAUCACAAGAAGAAAAGAAGAAAAAAGAGAUGUAACUAUGGGAAAUACUGGAUAUGUUAAUUCACUUGACCUGUAGUAAUCACUUCAUUAUAUAUGUAUACCAAAACAUCUUGCAGUACAACUUAAACAUACAGAAUUUUUUAAAAGACUGCAUCUUCAUGCUUGCUUAAGGACAUAAAUUUUCAGGAAUGGCGGAGGCAGAAGAAACCAUGCAGUUUAAACCCGUGUUGUUCAAGGGUCAACUGUAAAGCAACUCCAAAAUCACAGCAACAUAACACAACUAAGGGUUUACACUACUUGAUGUACAGAGAUUGGUAAGAGCCUCUUUUCAUGGUAGUCAAUUCAAGACGUCAGGUGAUGGACGCUGUUUCAACAUGUGCUUCCAAGAGAGCACUGUGAGAAAAUAAUCAUGUUCAUGG